CCCACACUUAGAAUACAAGUUUUUUUUUUUUUCAUAAUCAAGUUAAUAAUUACAAUCAUAGCCUCAAAGUAAUUAAGCAUCAUAGGGACAAAAAAUAUUUGGUCAAAAAUAGCGACGAUUGACUAAAGUAAAAUUUCCUAAAAACAAAAUUCUCGUCCACAAAAAGUAUUUCUCCAAACAAUGACAACACAAUAAUUUGCUUUAAUAAAAGAAUCAAAUCACAAGGGAAAGCACAAUAUUUUCAUCCUAAAAAGAACUAAUCAAAAUUAUCAUUUUCAAUUAUAAGAUAAAUUUAACAUGUUCACAAAUUCAACACAAAAAUCCAGACGUGCCAAGUUUAAAGGUUAGCAUAUAUAUGUACCUGACUCCUUGUGAAUGCUUACAAAAUGAGAAGAAUGUAAAACUUACACAGAAUUCGAUCACCAUGCUCCAGUUUCUUUGAUAGGCUUUAUAAUGAACAAUAUUUUAUAACUAUGCUCAAACCAUGUCUAGCUUCCAAUUUAGCCGUGGAGUGAGCAACUUCAAAAUUGCUUUCCUUCGGUAUCAAUCUACCUUAUUUCUCAAAUUAGAGUUUCUCCUUUUCAUCAACAAAUAAUUCAAUUACCAAAUCAAUAAUAAAAUUAGUAAUAAUUCCAUGCCAAAGAAUACUCUUAAGAUUAUUGGAAAAAUAUUACGACAUAGAAUUAUU
RNAcentral lists this long non-coding RNA (688 nucleotides) under Trifolium pratense (red clover). RNAcentral's name for it is "long non-coding RNA (TPRA_LNC009918)". Lineage: Eukaryota; Viridiplantae; Streptophyta; Magnoliopsida; Fabales; Fabaceae. The record is from RNAcentral.